RNAcentral lists this long non-coding RNA (967 nucleotides) under Sinocyclocheilus anshuiensis. RNAcentral describes it as "lncRNA (ENSSANG00000030922.1)". Lineage: Eukaryota; Metazoa; Chordata; Actinopteri; Cypriniformes; Cyprinidae. The record is from RNAcentral.
AAGAUAUCUGGUUUUAUUUUCCUUCCAUUUGUUAAUCCUCGCUUUGGACAGCUCUAAUCAUGAUUUUAUUUAUGAGGUAAGACUCUUAUAAGUAUUAGCAAAUAUUUAAUGGCAUGAGCUUCACUCUAAACUGUCAUCUGUGUUUCAUCACAGGGCAUUCUUCCUCUCUCAGCCAUUGAGGUGCGUCUGAUCCCACAGCAGGACCAUAGUUCUCCAGAUAUGUUUGAGAUUAGCGGCCCUAUGGUGGACUCAAAGAUCUUCCUUUGUGCUACUGCUGCUGAAACAAAAACCUGGAUGGAGAAUAUCGAGGACAGGAGAUACAAAUCCCUAAGGCAACAGCUGAGCCCGUCCCAUAGCGCGCUCUCAUACCUGGUGCCAUGUAAUGAAAACUGGAAAAGGGAGGAGCUUAAAAGGUACUUACUGCGGUCUCCCAUCUUGCAAUGGGAGGGGAAGCCCAUUCAGCACAUGGGCCAUCCAAGAUACAUUUCACUGGUGCACAUCAGCAACAUAUACACACAGGACCGGCGUUUGCAGGAACCUCAGGAGCAUUUGCUUGUGCUCUUCCCAUGUGACCUCCUCAUUCUGUCUCUCGACUGUCAUCAUGUACAUGUGAAAUACGAGGGUCGUCUGCCACUUAAGAGCAUUAAAGCCAUGGAAAGAUCUGCACUACCUGCAGACUGGAGUUUGAACUCACGGGUGAACUGAUGGAGCCUUUGCUUGUCUCCUGUACAUACCCUGAGGACUAUCAAAGCUGGAUCUUCCAGUUACAACAGCCUAAAGUGGCAGAUUCAUUGCCACAUCAUACCCCUCCACCUCUUAUACCGAAGAAGCGCAGAAGCUGAGGAUGAUGUGACGGAUGGAAAUUAAAAUGGCUGUGAACUCCAUAUAUUGUGCCCAAUGAAAGCUGCUGAUUCCAAAUGAACAUUUUACUGUUGCAUUUUCUUCUUCUUCUUCAAAGACAUCAAAC